This 308-nucleotide ribosomal RNA is filed under the name uncultured bacterium. RNAcentral describes it as "bacterial SSU rRNA". It matches the Rfam family "Bacterial small subunit ribosomal RNA", at positions 30 to 335 of the family's 1533-position model. The record is from RNAcentral.
AUUGAACGCUGGCGGCAUGCUUUACACAUGCAAGUCGAGCGGCAGCGCGGGGGCAACCCUGGCGGCGAGCGGCGAACGGGUGAGUAAUAGAUAGGGAACGUGUCCGGGAGUGGGGGAUAACUAGCCGAAAGGUUAGCUAAUACCGCAUAUUCUCUACGGAGGAAAAGCAGGGGAACCGCAAGGUCCUUGCGCUCGCGGAGUGGCCUAUCUCCGAUUAGCUAGUUGGUGAGGAAAGGCUUACCAAGGCGACGAUCGGUAGCUGGUCUGAGAGGAUGAUCAGCCACACUGGGACUGAGACACGGCCCAGA